CGGCAAAAGCUCAAAUUUGAAAUCUGGUACCUUUGGUGCCCGAGUUGUAAUUUGGAGAGUACCACUUUGGGACUGUACUUUGCCUAUGUUCCUUGGAACAGGACGUCAUGGAGGGUGAGAAUCCCGUGUGGCGAGGGUGUCAGUUCUUUGUAAAGGGUGCUCGAAGAGUCGAGUUGUUUGGGAAUGCAGCUCUAAGUGGGUGGUAAAUUCCAUCUAAAGCUAAAUACAGGCGAGAGACCGAUAGCGAACAAGUACAGUGAUGGAAAGAUGAAAAGAACUUUGAAAAGAGAGUGAAAAAGUACGUGAAAUUGUUGAAAGGGAAGGGCAUUUGAUCAGACAUGGUGUUUUGCGCCCCUUGCCUCUCGUGGGCUUGGGACUCUCGCAGCUCACUGGGCCAGCAUCGGUUUUGGCGGCCGGAAAAAACCUAGGGAAUGUGGCUCUGCGCCUCGGUGUAGAGUGUUAUAGCCCUGGGGAAUACGGCCAGCCGGGACCGAGGACUGCGAUACUUGUUAUCUAGGAUGCUGGCAUAAUGGUUAUAUGCCGCCCGUCUU
This 551-nucleotide ribosomal RNA is filed under the name Nakaseomyces glabratus. Its description in RNAcentral is "[Candida] glabrata partial large subunit ribosomal RNA". It matches the Rfam family "Eukaryotic large subunit ribosomal RNA", at positions 99 to 655 of the family's 3401-position model. The record is from RNAcentral. Lineage: Eukaryota; Fungi; Ascomycota; Saccharomycetes; Saccharomycetales; Saccharomycetaceae.